ACUCCUACGGGAGGCAGCAGUGGGGAAUAUUGCACAAUGGGGGAAACCCUGAUGCAGCCAUGCCGCGUGUGUGAAGAAGGCCUUCGGGUUGUAAAGCACUUUCAGUAGGGAGGAAGGUAGUGUAGUUAACACCUGCAUUAUUUGUACGUUACCUACAGAAGAAGCACCGGCUAACUCCGUGCCAGCAGCCGCGGUAAUACGGGAGGGUGCGAGCGUUAAUCGGAAUUACUGGGCGUAAAGCGCAUGCAGGCGGCCUGUUAAGUCAGAUGUGAAAGCCCGGGGCUUAACCUCGGAAUUGCAUUUGAAACUGGCAGGCUAGAGUCUUGUAGAGGGGUUAGAAUUCUAGGUGUAGCGGUGAAAUGCGUAGAGAUCGUGAAGGAAUACCG
RNAcentral lists this ribosomal RNA (386 nucleotides) under uncultured bacterium. RNAcentral describes it as "bacterial SSU rRNA". It matches the Rfam family "Bacterial small subunit ribosomal RNA", at positions 335 to 711 of the family's 1533-position model. The record is from RNAcentral.